Molecule: ribosomal RNA, 484 nt
Filed under: uncultured bacterium
Lineage: Bacteria
Description: partial 16S ribosomal RNA
Rfam family: Bacterial small subunit ribosomal RNA
Source: RNAcentral
AUUGAACGCUGGCGGCAUGCUUUACACAUGCAAGUCGAACGGCAGCGCGGGCUUCGGCCUGGCGGCGAGUGGCGAACGGGUGAGUAAUGCAUCGGAACGUGCCCAGUUGUGGGGGAUAGCCCGGCGAAAGCCGGAUUAAUACCGCAUACGACCUGAGGGUGAAAGCGGGGGACCGAAAGGCCUCGCGCCAUUGGAGCGGCCGAUGUCGGAUUAGCUAGUUGGUGGGGUAAAGGCUUACCAAGGCGACGAUCCGUAGCUGGUCUGAGAGGACGACCAGCCACACUGGAACUGAGACACGGCCCAGACUCCUACGGGAGGCAGCAGUGGGGAAUUUUGGACAAUGGGGGCAAGCCUGAUCCAGCCAUGCCGCGUGCGGGAAGAAGGCCUUCGGGUUGUAAACCGCUUUUGUUCGGGAAGAAAACCUCUGGGCUAAUACCCCGGGGGGAUGACGGUACCGGAAGAAUAAGCACCGGCUAACUACGUG